GGGGACCCUUUGGCAGCCGAGGAGGAGGAAGAGAAGGCAGCCGAGGAGCCCACGGCGCAGGUGCCGGUCGCCGGCGGUCGCGCGAGCCAGGAGAAUGUGGUACUAAGAGAUAAGUAUGAAUCUGUGGCUCAAAGUUCCCGGCAGAAGGAGAAUGAAGAAACAGUAUUAGCUCAGGAGAAAUCACUACAGCAGCAGAAUGAUGAAGAUAAAAACAAAACAGCAGAUGAAUCUGAUUGGGAAGUAGCAAAGACUACUGAAUCUAGAAAUGAAGUAAGUACUGUACAUCAGAACAAUCCUGCCUUGCCAUUUUGGCUUUCAUGCAGAUUUUGUGGCAUUGACAGAUGAUGUUAGAAAUUAAUCUUCUGUGUAGUUGUGCUCUGUUAAUAGCUAUGUGAUACAGGAGGAAAACAAAAUUAUGGGAGCAAUAAUUAGACUUACAAAGGAAUCAGCAAUUGUUUUCUCUGGCUGAACUCUCAAGAUUUUCUGUAUAUGUACACAUAGCCCCCAGGAAUAUGAUAGCAGGUUUUUGCUAGAUAUGCUUGCAAAGAUAAGAGAGAAAGAGCAGACUGGCAUUCUG
RNAcentral lists this long non-coding RNA (577 nucleotides) under Fukomys damarensis (Damara mole-rat). RNAcentral describes it as "lncRNA (ENSFDAG00000025968.1)". The record is from RNAcentral. Lineage: Eukaryota; Metazoa; Chordata; Mammalia; Rodentia; Bathyergidae.